AAUAUUUCGGCAUAUAAAAAUGAUGGCAGUAAGCAAGAUGUCAAAGACUUUGAACCAAGGUCCAACAUUUCAGCUUAUGGAGACAAUGACAUUGAUGUAAAAGAAAAGAAUGGAGCCAUUAAAGAUUUUGAACCUAGACCUAAUAUUUCAGCUUAUGGAGAAAAUGUCAUUGAUGCUGAUGAAAAGAAGAAACCAGUCAAAGAUUUUGAACCAAGACCCAAUAUUUCAGCUUAUGGAGACAAUGACAUUGAUGUUAAGGAAAAUAAGGGAGCCACCAACGAUUUUGAGCCAAGACCCAACAUUUCAGCUUAUGGAGACAAUGUCAUUGAUGAUAAUAAAAUGAAGAAACCAGUUGAAUAUUUCCAACCAAGACCAAACAUUUCAGCUUAUGGAGAAAAUGACAUUGAUGUUAAAAAAAGUAAAGAUUUUGAACCAAGACCCAACAUUUCAGCUUUUGGAGACAAUGACAUUGAUGUUAAUGAAAAGAAGGGAGAUACUAAAGAUUUCGAACCAAGACCAAAUAUUUCAGCUUAUGGAGACAAUGCCAUUGAUGAUGAUGAAAUGAAGAAACCAAUUAAAGAUUUUAAACCAAAAC
Molecule: long non-coding RNA, 595 nt
Filed under: Medicago truncatula (barrel medic)
Lineage: Eukaryota; Viridiplantae; Streptophyta; Magnoliopsida; Fabales; Fabaceae
Description: long non-coding RNA (MTRU_LNC001332)
Source: RNAcentral